Molecule: long non-coding RNA, 792 nt
Organism: Cryptomeria japonica (Japanese cedar)
Lineage: Eukaryota; Viridiplantae; Streptophyta; Pinopsida; Cupressales; Cupressaceae
Exons: 2
Source: RefSeq, a predicted model, not a curated record
CUUCUCCAAAGACCAUGUCCAUUUACCCAAAAUGUGCUGUGAAGAACAACUGAAAAAGGGUAAAAGAAACAUCACAGUAAAUAGAUCAAUCUGUUGGUAAUGAUGCAGUUUGUUAGUUCACACCAUCAACAAUGGAACUAUCCUCUCAGACACACACUAGCCAUCACCAUCCAUGCAUAUAUUGUGUUUGUAUAGCUUGUCCUGCAAUAAAACUAACUGAUAUAGUUCACACCAUGAGCAAUGGAGAAGCUAUACACACAAUAUAUAUACACUUGACCAUUCUCUAAUACAUGAGAGUUCUCAGACAUGUACCUCUACAAAUCUUCCCAGCAAUAAUACCUCAGGCCCCCCUGUUAAACUGCAAGUUCUUCUCCAAAGAUGAAGAAUCUCUUAGGAUUUCAACUGAUGGUCACCUUGCUUUGUGGGUUCAUUUCAUCAGCAGUGUUUGCUUAUCUGGAGUGUAACAGCUCACCGCCAAUGGAUGUUCAGCUACCCAGUUGUAACUGCUGCCUGUGGCUCAGUCUUGGUUUAGUCCCAUGGUUUCUGGUUCAGAAUCUCUGAUUCUUAGCUUGUUGGAUAUGUUACUCUAUACUUAAUAGAAAUGUUGUCUAUUACUGGGUGCUGCUUUGGUUAAGGGAACUCAAGUUAUUAUUAAUUGUAAUAAUGCCAAUUUGAGUUAUACUUCUUAGAUUGGUUAUUUGGAGAUACUGGUAUUUUUUCUCAUUAAGGAGUAUGUAGUCUUUGUACACAAUCUAUUUUAAGUUAUUUACAAAAGCUUGGCAUUGAAUACAA